Long non-coding RNA from Mauremys mutica (yellowpond turtle), 807 nucleotides. RefSeq lists it as uncharacterized. NCBI's taxonomy places the organism in Eukaryota, Metazoa, Chordata, Testudines, Geoemydidae. The transcript is spliced from 3 exons. The record is from RefSeq and is a predicted model, not a curated record.
CUUGGCUGCUAUGCUUUAACAAAGGAUUUGUGUGUAUGUUCUGGGAGGAGGAAAGUCACAGAGCAGUGUCUUUAGAGAAGUGGGGAGCAGAACCUGGACACAGAACUGUUACAUCUGACAGAGAUGACACAUUGGAUAAUAUUUCAAAAGGUGCCCAAGUGACUUACAAGCCUAUAUCCCAUUUUCAAAGUUACUUAGUCAUCCAGAAGACUAAAUCUCAUUGAAGGUUACUGAGACUGGCCAGGUUCCAGCUUCCCAGAGAUCAAACCAGUAGGCAAUGAGAGACCCCGGCGUCCCUUGGAUCUGCAGGAAGGUUCUACUGCUUUUGGUCCAGUCCUGAGUGUUCUUUGUUGUUGUUGUGGGUUUUAUUCUUCUCUCCAGCCGCUACUGCUGUAGGUUUAUAUAUAGCCCCAUAUAUACCUUGAUUAUCCUUACAUGGUAAUAUUUCAGUUCAAGCCUUGCAAUUGGUUUCUUACACUCAUACUAUGUCAUUCAUUCAUUAUAUAUGGAUUACAUAAUCAAUAAAACAUGAAUACAAUUUUGUAAUAUAGCUUUAAGCAAGCCCUAACAUCAGCAAGGACUUCCGCCGGUAUUUGUGGUUCAGACAGGAAACUGUGCAAACUGCACUUUUAGACUGCUCAAAAAGGCAUGAGGUGAGGCCAUGGGCUGUCCCGCAUCCCUAUGGAGCAGGAGCUGCUCCUGCCUGCCAGAGGCCAAGCCAUGAAUGAGGCCACAUCCGGCUACACUUACCAUCUAAGCUCCCAGUUCUGCAAUGAGCACUGCACGAGUGGACCUCUGCCUGCACAA